UACGGUGAACAACUCGCUCGUGUGUGGCAUUUCCUAACAGUGUUGGACUGAAACCGUGUGGAACUAGCAAGCAAGGAUACUGGAAAGGGGUUGAAGCAUCCUGACCGACGGUUGUUUGGAUCACUACUGGUGGACGAAAGGUGCUGCAAGCCUAAAUUUGUUCGACUUUUUGCUCGUUGCAAAUGAAAAUAUUGAUCUAAUUGAUUUGAUCGUAACCCGUACCCGUUCCUUUUGUAUGGCGUGUAAAGCGGUGAAGAGUAUCUGUUGUGUGUGAUGCGCGCAAUCAGUUAAUCGAGAAAAAAAUUAUCAGCUUCCUGAUAACGAUUUAUUUUCGAUUAGAGUUCAACCGAAGAUUUAAGUGUGUACACGUGAGUUAAUAGAGGUUUAUUUAUACUGUUUUGGUGUUUUAUCUAGAUACAUGUGAAAAAGUUGAUUGAUUACGGAAAACAAAAGUGUGGAUUUGGAGCUUAUAUGAGCCACAACGAAGAAAAAUAAUUUACAAUAGCGUCCAAUAUAUACGAAGAAAUAUAUAGGAAGAUUUUCGAGUGAAUGCUAAAAGAGUAUGAUGUGUACUGAAGAUGAUGAGUUUCUAGACGACAAGCGCAUGCAAUUGAUUCAUGUGGCCGAUGCCGAUGGCAGAGUUAAACUCAAAUAAAUGUGCAUUAAGGUAAUGUUAAAAUGUUAUGAUGCAUUCUUAUACUGUUCAGUGAAGCUUUUUUUUUUGUUUUGUGUUUUUGUUAGGAAACUCAUCGUGUAGUGAAAGAUUAUUUAGGUAGCCAGUUUCAUACGUAAUGAACUUUAGCAAAACGAAAGUUCCAACGGUGGUGCGAUGCACUUUGCAGCCAACGGAAUAUACUGAUUGGGAACCUUUGAAAUGUGCACACAAAGCAGUGCUGAAUCAGUGUCAAGUGAAUAAAAACAAUCAUUGGGAAGAUACAAUUAAUCAACCUCUUGUCACGCGCCGGAGACUACUGUAUUAGUCGGAGUGUUAGAAAAAAAAAAUCAGCGAUAACAGAAGAUUGUAAUAUAAAAAAAAAACAAAACGUCAAGAGGCGACUAGUGCAUUUUGCAGAAUAAAAAAAGGAAUAACGAAUUCUUUCAUAAUAAAUUUCUCUAUAUUACUUCAAGUGGUGUGAUUACAAAGAUUUUUAUAUGUGUGUAUCAACCUGUAUGGAAAUAACUCCCGCAAUCUGGAUCGGUGGCUAUCUGUUCAGUAGCAUUAACGAAUGUGACAUUUUAUUAAUACAAAAUAAAAAGGUACAAUGAGGCCAAAUAAAUACGAUGUUACCACAGCUUACCGUCUAUGCCAAGAUUUUGUGCCUCCUGAUGGUGGUGAUGAUUGCGGGAGCAACACCCGAAUACAUGUAUCUUCAAUCGGCCUGCUCAUCAAAGUUUGUCCGAAUAGCAAAAAAUGGCACUGUCUAUGCCGACGACAACGGACAAAGUGGUCGUCCACGUAAGUAUUGACCUGAGUAUAUUUGAUUUCAAGAAAGGAAUUUUUUUGACACGCUGAGUGAAUUGAUAACAUGCACGCUGGUAGGAUCAAUCAAUGGUCUGAUGGCAUAUGAAUUUUGAUUGCCUCUCAAUCGUGUCACUCACCUGGUAUCUAUGAGGAUGACAAGUGAUAUUACAAUUUCAACAGAACGCAUCUCACGUGCUAAGCGCACUUCCAAACCGACAAACGGUUAAAAGAAAUCGUUGGUUAUUUUAUGAAAAUUUCACAACCGAAGCCGAAAAAGAAGUUAUCAAGUUCAAACCAAUUAAGAUAUGGCUUUUUAUUGGAGCAAAAAAGGUUCCUUCUCCGGUGGUCCGAUGAGCGAUGAGAAGUUCCGCUCGCUCGUGUUAUAACUAUCAUUAUCAAUAUUGGCUUGUUGCUUUUUCUCUGUUUGGCAUGCUCUGCUCCGGUUUUCCACCCAAUCAUGCUUUUAGCCCAUUCCCAGACAGAGUGUCAACCCGGGGUGAUGCAAAAGAGCAUUGCCGCCGGAGAGAAGAUGAUAUAAGCCCUAUAAUAAAGCAAAAUCCACACAAAUGGCUUUGC
Molecule: long non-coding RNA, 2038 nt
Organism: Ochlerotatus camptorhynchus
Lineage: Eukaryota; Metazoa; Arthropoda; Insecta; Diptera; Culicidae
Exons: 3
Source: RefSeq, a predicted model, not a curated record